AUCACGAGGUCAGGAGAUCGAGACCAUCCUGGCUAACACGGACCAAGAAAUCUGGGAAGCCUGAGGACCAAGAAACCUGGGAACUCUGAGUACAAUGCGUGACUGUCUUAAAGGAGCUGAUGAGCUUACAGUCAUUUGACAGCCGCAGGCGCCCAACUGACUCCCAACCUCUUGCACAAAAAGAUAACACUUCGGGAUGCUAAAGUGGAUUCCUUUUCCCAGGUACCAAACUGUGAAGCUGCUUCAAAGCUGUGUCUUUGCUGGUGGGGUUGUCUCUGCUUGGAACGUCACUUCCACUGCCACUCAUUCAACCCAGCAAACCCCCUCCAAAGAUAAGUUCAAGUGCUGCCACUUCUCUGUAGUUUUUCAUGACCCUCCAAGGCAGAAUUAAUUGUUCCUUUCUCCUUGUCCCUGUGUCCACAUACACACAAAAGAAAUUUUAAAUUUGUGCUUCAAUCUUUUCAACUAAAUAAUGAGAUAUGGAA
Non-coding RNA from Macaca mulatta (Rhesus monkey), 485 nucleotides. Lineage: Eukaryota; Metazoa; Chordata; Mammalia; Primates; Cercopithecidae. The record is from RefSeq and is a predicted model, not a curated record.